This 87-nucleotide transfer RNA is filed under the name Solirubrobacterales bacterium. RNAcentral describes it as "tRNA-Ser". It matches the Rfam family "tRNA". Rfam says of the family: Transfer RNA (tRNA) molecules are approximately 80 nucleotides in length. Their secondary structure includes four short double-helical elements and three loops (D, anti-codon, and T loops). Further hydrogen bonds mediate the characteristic L-shaped molecular structure. tRNAs have two regions of fundamental functional importance: the anti-codon, which is responsible for specific mRNA codon recognition, and the 3' end, to which the tRNAs corresponding amino acid is attached (by aminoacyl-tRNA synthetases). tRNAs cope with the degeneracy of the genetic code in two manners: having more than one tRNA (with a specific anti-codon) for a particular amino acid; and 'wobble' base-pairing, i.e. permitting non-standard base-pairing at the 3rd anti-codon position. Lineage: Bacteria; Bacillati; Actinomycetota; Thermoleophilia; Solirubrobacterales. RNAcentral also lists the same sequence under 1 other name. The record is from RNAcentral.
GGAGGGGUGCGAGAGUGGUUGAAUCGGGCAGUCUCGAAAACUGUUGUGCGCUUCGGCGUACCGUGGGUUCGAAUCCCACCCCCUCCG